UGUGGGUAAAUGAAACUAGAGAAAUAAAGAAUUUGGUUAGAAGUAUAACACUAUAAUAGGAUAACAAAAAAAUCAUGAAAAUGAAGGAGUUAUGCACCAAUUAAAGGAACAAUUCCACAAGAGGUGCAGAAUUUAGCAAUUUAAAAUUUUUCUUAAGUUAGGAUUUCAUGCAUCAUGCUACCAUAUUUAGCUACUGAAAAUUUUAACUUUUAGUUACACUAAAUCAUGCUUUAAGCCCAGGAUAAGCCUAAUUGCCAUUAGGAAACAUUUUCCCCAAAUUAAACUUGAUUUGGGUUUUGGAGAUUACAUACCCUUCAAGGUGCAGAAUCAAUCAAUUUCACCUUAAUCGGGUAUUGAAGACUCCCAAUUGCAAGUCAUCUAGCUUGUCCACACAAGCACUUGACCAAGAACACCUUGAACAGCCAAUAACUCUUCCAAAUUCUUCAAAAGUUUGGCAGCCAAGAAAAAGGGAGGAAGAGUAUGUUGUAUUCUAAUGGUUUUCUUAUUGGAAGUAAGGGAGAAACACUUUCUCUAAGGAUUAAUUCAAGAAGACAACAACUUGUGUUCUUGAAUUUUAUCAAGGAUGGGGAUGAAACUAUAGAGAGGGAGAGAAACCAAGGAUGGCCAGCACACUUGAGGAAGAAAAAGUGUUAGUUUCUUCUCCUUUAUCCCAACUUAAAUACCUUAAUUAAUAUUAGUGAGCAAAUGUUGAAUUUCAAUUGGUUAAUCAAAAUUCUUGUCCAAUCCUCGUUGGACCAUUUGUCAC
RNAcentral lists this unclassified non-coding RNA (766 nucleotides) under Hevea brasiliensis (rubber tree). Lineage: Eukaryota; Viridiplantae; Streptophyta; Magnoliopsida; Malpighiales; Euphorbiaceae. The record is from RNAcentral.